RNAcentral lists this microRNA precursor (102 nucleotides) under Marmota monax (woodchuck). The record is from RNAcentral. Lineage: Eukaryota; Metazoa; Chordata; Mammalia; Rodentia; Sciuridae.
ACUGGGAUAACUGGGUCAAAUUGUGGUUUCCAUUCCACAUUUUUGGAGGAAUCUCCAUACUGCUUUCAGAGUGGUUGCACAAUUUGCAGUCCCACCAGAAAU